CCUGUACAGAGACUCAAUAUUUGUGGACAUUAACCAAACUGCAUCUACAGAGUCAGAGACUGACAAAGAAAAACACUUGAAGGACCAAGACAAAGUAAGAUUUCUUCAGUACAAUGGCAAGUGUGACCAGAUCCUUCUGACAAACAGCAGAAUGCAGUCUGUGGGGCUCCCCGUUGUCGGGUAGAGUCUUUCAAAAUGAACCGAGAUUAACAGGGAAGUCUGAUCUCACACAAUAAUCACAAAAUUUUCGGAAGACGCUGAUGUUUUGAAUGAGAACGAGAGAGGUUAUGUCAAGGAUCAAUUUGUAAUUGAAAGGAAAUUAAAUCAUACGCAUUCAUGUAAAACGUCUUCCUCGUAUUGCCCAUAUUGGCGGGCUUUUCAAAUCGGAAAGAAAACGGUUGAUGAUUUGGCGCCGGUAUUUUCCUACGGUUUCCACGCAGAGGAAUUUUGUUUUAUUUUCAAAUCUCCCCGGGCUUUGCAGAAAACAAUAAAUGAGGCUUUCUGCUGUCGGUGGGAAAAUUUCAAAGUGAGCCGAGAUGAAAGCAGAACAGCUGGCGGACUGGCAUCGCAAAAGUAGAAAUAUUGUUGAUCUUGUGCAAUAGGGAGCGCGAUUGUAAAAUAUUGUUUAAAGAAGUAUUGCGG
Long non-coding RNA from Stegostoma tigrinum, 642 nucleotides. RefSeq lists it as uncharacterized. The record is from RefSeq and is a predicted model, not a curated record. The transcript is spliced from 3 exons. NCBI's taxonomy places the organism in Eukaryota, Metazoa, Chordata, Chondrichthyes, Orectolobiformes, Stegostomatidae.